RNAcentral lists this ribosomal RNA (439 nucleotides) under uncultured bacterium. Its description in RNAcentral is "partial 16S ribosomal RNA". It matches the Rfam family "Bacterial small subunit ribosomal RNA", at positions 338 to 795 of the family's 1533-position model. The record is from RNAcentral.
CCUACGGGUGGCUGCAGUGGGGGAUAUUGCACAAUGGGGGAAACCCUGAUGCAGCAACGCCGCGUGUGGGAAGAAGGUUUUCGGAUUGUAAACCACUGUUCGUGGUGAAGAUAAUGACGGUAACCAAGGAGAAAGCUCCGGCUAACUACGUGCCAGCAGCCGCGGUAAUACGUAGGGAGAAAGCGUUGUCCGGAUUUACUUGGUGUAAAGGGUGCGAAGGCGGGCUUGCAAGUCCGACUUGAAAACCACAGGCUCAACCUGGGGCCUGCGUUUGAAACUGUGGGGCUUGGGUGAAGUAGAGUUGGGCGGAAUUCCCGUUGUAGCGUUGAAAUGCUAGAUAUGACGAAGAACCCCGAUUGCGAAGGCAGCUUGCUGCAGCGGAACUGACGCUGAUGCUCGAAAGCGCGGGUAUCGAACAGGAUUAGAUACCCCUGUAGUC